CAGCACUGCUAACCAGCUUCAGAAUUCCAUUGGCAGCCUGCCAAGAUUCUGAGCAGUUAGCCCCUCCCAACUGAUUGACCAAACCUACUCCCAACUGGUUUCAAACUUCCCUGCGGGCUACAACUGACAACCUGGACAUAAAUAGAUGAGGUCUGACAAAAAGGCAUCAAUAAAUUUGGACAAUGCAGUAGUACCUAGGAAAGAAGACAAAAGUAGAAUGACUUGGGCAAUCAGAACAUUGCAGCCACAAUGGGAUCAUCUUCAAAGGAAGGAGGAUUUAUCCUGAAUCUCUCAAUAUCUUGUGGAAUGAAAGAUAUUUGAUGCCUAAUGGUCCCAACAUCUCCACUAUUAAGACUACUAAAGACCUGACUUAAGGAUAAUAAAAAGUGAAGAAAAUUGAAGAAAAUUGAGGAUAUUCAUCAAACCUUUGUGGUCUACCAAAUGUAAUAAUUAAAAUUGGUUGCCAAAUAUAAACUUAAAAAUUUGGUUUGACAAAAAUAAUAAUAAAAAAGAAUUUUGGUCACCAUAUAUAAAAUUCAA
This is a long non-coding RNA of Monodelphis domestica (gray short-tailed opossum), 540 nucleotides long. RefSeq lists it as uncharacterized. The record is from RefSeq and is a predicted model, not a curated record. Lineage: Eukaryota; Metazoa; Chordata; Mammalia; Didelphimorphia; Didelphidae.